Molecule: ribosomal RNA, 963 nt
Filed under: Salmonella enterica subsp. arizonae serovar 18:z4,z32:-
Lineage: Bacteria; Pseudomonadati; Pseudomonadota; Gammaproteobacteria; Enterobacterales; Enterobacteriaceae
Description: partial 23S ribosomal RNA
Rfam family: Bacterial large subunit ribosomal RNA
Source: RNAcentral
AGACCCGAAACCCGGUGAUCUAGCCAUGGGCAGGUUGAAGGUUGGGUAACACUAACUGGAGGACCGAACCGACUAAUGUUGAAAAAUUAGCGGAUGACCUGUGGCUGGGGGUGAAAGGCCAAUCAAACCGGGAGAUAGCUGGUUCUCCCCGAAAGCUAUUUAGGUAGCGCCUCGUGAAUUCAUCUCCGGGGGUAGAGCACUGUUUCGGCCAGGGGGCCAUCCCGGCUUACCAACCCGAUGCAAACUGCGAAUACCGGAGAAUGUUAUCACGGGAGACACACGGCGGGUGCUAACGUCCGUCGUGAAGAGGGAAACAACCCAGACCGCCAGCUAAGGUCCCAAAGUCAUGGUUAAGUGGGAAACGAUGUGGGAAGGCCCAGACAGCCAGGAUGUUGGCUUAGAAGCAGCCAUCAUUUAAAGAAAGCGUAAUAGCUCACUGGUCGAGUCGGCCUGCGCGGAAGAUGUAACGGGGCUAAACCAUGCACCGAAGCUGCGGCAGCGAACGUAUCACUUAAAGCGAUUCAGCGGAUGACGAUUGACGGAGCGAAGCGACGUCAAAGCGUUUUACAACGUCGAGUCGGUUUAAGGAUACGUUCGUUGGGUAGGGGAGCGUUCUGUAAGCCUGCGAAGGUGGCCUGUGAGGGUUGCUGGAGGUAUCAGAAGUGCGAAUGCUGACAUAAGUAACGAUAAUGCGGGUGAAAAACCCGCACGCCGGAAGACCAAGGGUUCCUGUCCAACGUUAAUCGGGGCAGGGUGAGUCGACCCCUAAGGCGAGGCCGAAAGGCGUAGUCGAUGGGAAACAGGUUAAUAUUCCUGUACCUGGUGUUACUGCGAAGGGGGGACGGAGAAGGCUAUGUUGGCCGGGCGACGGUUGUCCCGGUUUAAGCGUGUAGGCUGGUUUUCCAGGCAAAUCCGGAAAAUCAAGGCUGAGGCGUGAUGACGAGGCACUACGGUGCUGAAGCA